GGGGCUGAUUCUGGAUUCGACAACCCAAGGUGCAUGCCGAGGGGCGGUUGGCCUCGUAAAAAGCCGCAAAAAAUAGUCGCAAACGACGAAAACUACGCUUUAGCAGCUUAAUAACCUGCUUAGAGCCCUCUCUCCCUAGCCUCCGCUCUUAGGACGGGGAUCAAGAGAGGUCAAACCCAAAAGAGAUCGCGUGGAAGCCCUGCCUGGGGUUGAAGCGUUAAAACUUAAUCAGGCUAGUUUGUUAGUGGCGUGUCCGUCCGCAGCUGGCAAGCGAAUGUAAAGACUGACUAAGCAUGUAGUACCGAGGAUGUAGGAAUUUCGGACGCGGGUUCAACUCCCGCCAGCUCCACCA
This 352-nucleotide transfer-messenger RNA is filed under the name Escherichia coli. It matches the Rfam family "transfer-messenger RNA". From Rfam's summary of the family: Bacterial tmRNA, also known as 10Sa RNA or SsrA, is named for its dual tRNA and mRNA-like properties. Its role is to liberate the mRNA from a stalled ribosome. Lineage: Bacteria; Pseudomonadati; Pseudomonadota; Gammaproteobacteria; Enterobacterales; Enterobacteriaceae. The record is from RNAcentral.